CGCCUGCCCUGUGACAAAAAGUUCAACGGCCGCGGUAUUUUGACCGUGCAAAGGUAGCGCAAUCACUUGUCUUUUAAAUGAAGACCUGUAUGAAUGGCAUAACGAGGGCUUAACUGUCUCCUUUUUCCAGUCAAUGAAAUUGAUCUUCCCGUGCAGAAGCGGGAAUAUAACCAUAAGACGAGAAGACCCUAUGGAGCUUUAGACACAAAACAGAUCUUGUUAAAUACUUCAAAAUAAAGAAACAAACUAAAAGAACCCUGCCCUACUGUCUUCGGUUGGGGCGACCACGGGGAGAUAAAUAACCCCCACGCGGACUGGGAAAACAGUUCUCACAACCAAGAGCUACAGCUCUAAUCAACAGAAAUUCUGACCUCAAGAUCCGGCAACGCCGAUCAACGGACCGAGUUACCCUAGGGAUAACAGCGCAAUCCCCUUUUAGAGUCCAUAUCGACAAGGGGGUUUACGACCUCGAUGUUGGAUCAGGACAUCCUAAUGGUGCAGCAGCUAUUAAGGGUUCGUUUGUUCAACGAUUAAAGUCCU
Molecule: ribosomal RNA, 540 nt
Filed under: Betta raja
Lineage: Eukaryota; Metazoa; Chordata; Actinopteri; Anabantiformes; Osphronemidae
Description: partial 16S ribosomal RNA
Rfam family: Bacterial large subunit ribosomal RNA
Source: RNAcentral